UUGUCAUUAGUUGCUACGAAAAGGCACUCUAAUGAGACUGCCGGUGAUAAGCCGGAGGAAGGUGGGGAUGACGUCAAGUCCUCAUGGCCCUUAUAGGUGGGGCUACACACGUCAUACAAUGGCUGGUACAAAGGGUUGCCAACCCGCGAGGGGAAGCUAAUCCCAUAAAGCCAGUCGUAGUCCGGAUCGCAGUCUGCAACUCGACUGCGUGAAGUCGGAAUCGCUAGUAAUCGUGGAUCAGAAUGUCACGGUGAAUACGUUCCCGGGUCUU
This 271-nucleotide ribosomal RNA is filed under the name uncultured bacterium. RNAcentral describes it as "partial 16S ribosomal RNA". It matches the Rfam family "Bacterial small subunit ribosomal RNA", at positions 1105 to 1382 of the family's 1533-position model. The record is from RNAcentral.